Molecule: ribosomal RNA, 312 nt
Filed under: uncultured eukaryote
Lineage: Eukaryota
Description: partial large subunit ribosomal RNA
Rfam family: Eukaryotic large subunit ribosomal RNA
Source: RNAcentral
AUAUCAGUAGGCGGAGGAAAAGAAAUUAACAAAGAUUGCCUUAGUAGUGGCGAACGAAGAGGCAAAAGCUCAAUGUUGUAAUCUGGGAUCUACGAUCUCCGAAUUGUAAUCUAGAGAGGCGAGCAAAAGGGAAAGCUAUCACAUAAGUUCUCUGAAAAGGGACGUCACAGAGGGUGAAAACCCACGUAGUUGGUGAUGGUAAUUCCGAAUGUUAGCACUCAACGAGUCGGGUUGUUUGGGAGUACAGCCCUAAAUGGGAGAUAAACUUCUUCUAAAGCUAAAUAUUUAUGGGAGACCGAUAGCGCACAAGUA